UACGGAGGGUGCGAGCGUUGUCCGGAAUCACUGGGCGUAAAGGGCGCGUAGGCGGCCUGAUAAGUAGGGGGUGAAAUCCUGCGGCUUAACCGCAGGGCUGCCUUCUAAACUGUCAGGCUGGAGCACAGUAGAGGCAGGUGGAAUUCCCGGUGUAGCGGUGGAAUGCGUAGAGAUCGGGAAGAACAUCAGUGGCGAAGGCGGCCUGCUGGGCUGUUCUUGACGCUGAGGCGCGAAAGCUAGGGGAGCAAACGGG
Molecule: ribosomal RNA, 253 nt
Filed under: uncultured bacterium
Lineage: Bacteria
Description: partial 16S ribosomal RNA
Rfam family: Bacterial small subunit ribosomal RNA
Source: RNAcentral